RNAcentral lists this ribosomal RNA (1354 nucleotides) under Mycobacterium sp. DWMJ-1860B2. RNAcentral describes it as "bacterial SSU rRNA". It matches the Rfam family "Bacterial small subunit ribosomal RNA", at positions 80 to 1435 of the family's 1533-position model. The record is from RNAcentral. Lineage: Bacteria; Bacillati; Actinomycetota; Actinomycetes; Mycobacteriales; Mycobacteriaceae.
UCGGGGGUACUCGAGUGGCGAACGGGUGAGUAACACGUGGGCAAUCUGCCCUGCACUUCGGGAUAAGCCUGGGAAACUGGGUCUAAUACCGGAUAGGACCUUUAGACGCAUGUCUUUUGGUGGGAAGCUUUUGCGGUGUGGGAUGGGCCCGCGGCCUAUCAGCUUGUUGGUGGGGUGACGGCCUACCAAGGCGACGACGGGUAGCCGGCCUGAGAGGGUGUCCGGCCACACUGGGACUGAGAUACGGCCCAGACUCCUACGGGAGGCAGCAGUGGGGAAUAUUGCACAAUGGGCGCAAGCCUGAUGCAGCGACGCCGCGUGGGGGAUGACGGCCUUCGGGUUGUAAACCUCUUUCACCAUCGACGAAGGUUCGGGUUUUCUCGGAUUGACGGUAGGUGGAGAAGAAGCACCGGCCAACUACGUGCCAGCAGCCGCGGUAAUACGUAGGGUGCGAGCGUUGUCCGGAAUUACUGGGCGUAAAGAGCUCGUAGGUGGUUUGUCGCGUUGUUCGUGAAAUCUCACGGCUUAACUGUGAGCGUGCGGGCGAUACGGGCAGACUAGAGUACUGCAGGGGAGACUGGAAUUCCUGGUGUAGCGGUGGAAUGCGCAGAUAUCAGGAGGAACACCGGUGGCGAAGGCGGGUCUCUGGGCAGUAACUGACGCUGAGGAGCGAAAGCGUGGGGAGCGAACAGGAUUAGAUACCCUGGUAGUCCACGCCGUAAACGGUGGGUACUAGGUGUGGGUUUCCUUCCUUGGGAUCCGUGCCGUAGCUAACGCAUUAAGUACCCCGCCUGGGGAGUACGGCCGCAAGGCUAAAACUCAAAGGAAUUGACGGGGGCCCGCACAAGCGGCGGAGCAUGUGGAUUAAUUCGAUGCAACGCGAAGAACCUUACCUGGGUUUGACAUGCACAGGACGCGUCUAGAGAUAGGCGUUCCCUUGUGGCCUGUGUGCAGGUGGUGCAUGGCUGUCGUCAGCUCGUGUCGUGAGAUGUUGGGUUAAGUCCCGCAACGAGCGCAACCCUUGUCUCAUGUUGCCAGCGGGUAAUGCCGGGGACUCGUGAGAGACUGCCGGGGUCAACUCGGAGGAAGGUGGGGAUGACGUCAAGUCAUCAUGCCCCUUAUGUCCAGGGCUUCACACAUGCUACAAUGGCCGGUACAAAGGGCUGCGAUGCCGCAAGGUUAAGCGAAUCCUUUUAAAGCCGGUCUCAGUUCGGAUUGGGGUCUGCAACUCGACCCCAUGAAGUCGGAGUCGCUAGUAAUCGCAGAUCAGCAACGCUGCGGUGAAUACGUUCCCGGGCCUUGUACACACCGCCCGUCACGUCAUGAAAGUCGGUAACACCCGAAGCCAGUGGCC